UGAGGAAUAUUGGUCAAUGGACGGGAGUCUGAACCAGCCAAGUAGCGUGCAGGAUGACGGCCCUAUGGGUUGUAAACUGCUUUUGUGCGGGGAUAAAGUGUGGGACGUGUCCCAUAUUGCAGGUACCGCAUGAAUAAGGACCGGCUAAUUCCGUGCCAGCAGCCGCGGUAAUACGGAGGAUGCAAGCGUUAUCCGGAUUUAUUGGGUUUAAAGGGUGCGUAGGCUGUUUGACAAGUCAGUGGUGAAAGCCCGGGGCUUAACUCCGGAAUUGCCGUUGAUACUGUUGAGCUGGAAUACGGAUGCCGUGGGAGGAAUGAGUAGUGUAGCGGUGAAAUGCAUAGAUAUUACUCAGAACACCGAUUGCGAAGGCAUCUCACGAAUCCGUCAUUGACGCUGAGGCACGAAAGCGUGGGGAUCAAACAGGAUUAGAUACCCUGGU
This 439-nucleotide ribosomal RNA is filed under the name uncultured Marinilabilia sp. Its description in RNAcentral is "bacterial SSU rRNA". It matches the Rfam family "Bacterial small subunit ribosomal RNA", at positions 355 to 791 of the family's 1533-position model. The record is from RNAcentral. Lineage: Bacteria; Pseudomonadati; Bacteroidota; Bacteroidia; Marinilabiliales; Marinilabiliaceae.